GACGAACGCUGGCGGCGUGCUUAACACAUGCAAGUCGAACGAUGAAGCCGGAGCUUGCUCCGGUGGAUUAGUGGCGAACGGGUGAGUAACCCGUGAGCAAUCUGCCCUUGACUCUGGGAUAACUGCGGGAAACUGUAGCUAAUACCGGAUACGACACCUUGGGGCAUCCCAGGGUGUGGAAAGAAUUUCGGUCAAGGAUGAGCUCGCGGCCUAUCAGCUAGUUGGUGAGGUAAUGGCUCACCAAGGCGACGACGGGUAGCCGGCCUGAGAGGGUGACCAGCCACACUGGAACUGAGACACGGUCCAGACUCCUACGGGAGGCAGCAGUGGGGAAUAUUGCACAAUGGGCGAAAGCCUGAUGCAGCAACGCCGCGUGAGGGAUGAAGGCCUUCGGGUUGUAAACCUCUUUUAGCAGGGAAGAAGCGAAAGUGACGGUACCUGCAGAAAAAGCACCGGCUAACUACGUGCCAGCCGCCGCAGUAA
Molecule: ribosomal RNA, 483 nt
Filed under: uncultured bacterium
Lineage: Bacteria
Description: partial 16S ribosomal RNA
Rfam family: Bacterial small subunit ribosomal RNA
Source: RNAcentral